Molecule: non-coding RNA, 535 nt
Filed under: Aspergillus fischeri NRRL 181
Lineage: Eukaryota; Fungi; Ascomycota; Eurotiomycetes; Eurotiales; Aspergillaceae
Description: Neosartorya fischeri NRRL 181 Bacterial large subunit ribosomal RNA
Rfam family: Bacterial large subunit ribosomal RNA
Source: Rfam by way of RNAcentral
GGCAAGUAUAUAAAGAAAUUAUUAUGGAUAAUUAGCUAUAUAUUAAAGAAUAUCUAGUCAAUCUAGUUUCUAAGAGAAAUCAGAUAAUAAACGAAGUGAAUUGAAAUAUCUUAGUAACUUUAGGAAAAGAAAUCAAACGAGAUUGUUAUUUGGUGUCAACUAAAUAACAAAAGCCUAAUAACAAAACUUGUUAAAAGUAAAAUGGAUUAAAAUCUGUUUGAAUAUAGGGGAACCUUCCUCUAAGGCUAAAAAUGAUAUAUAAGCGAUAGUGAAAAGUACCGUGAGGUAAAAUUUGAAAUAGUAAUUUUAUAAGCAGCUCGAGUGAAAUUUAAAUAAAUAAUAAGAGCGUACCUUUUGCAUAAUGGGUCAGCAAGUUAAUUUUAGAUGCAAGCAAUGAUUUUAUGCGCUUUUCGCAUAAAACUAGCUUAGAUAAACCAAUUAUGAAAAAAUGAAUAAGUAUCUAGAAUUAGACCCGAAGGCUAGUGAUCUUACCAUGGUCAGGGUUAUAAAAGCCCGAACGGGUUAUCGUUGUAUA